GAUGAACGCUGGCGGCGUGCCUAAUACAUGCAAGUCGAGCGAACAGACGAGGAGCUUGCUCCUCUGACGUUAGCGGCGGACGGGUGAGUAACACGUGGAUAACCUACCUAUAAGACUGGGAUAACUUCGGGAAACCGGAGCUAAUACCGGAUAAUAUAUUGAACCGCAUGGUUCAAUAGUGAAAGACGGUUUUGCUGUCACUUAUAGAUGGAUCCGCGCCGCAUUAGCUAGUUGGUAAGGUAACGGCUUACCAAGGCGACGAUGCGUAGCCGACCUGAGAGGGUGAUAGGCCACACUGGAACUGAGCCACGGUCCAGACUCCUACGGGAGGCAGCAGUAGGGAAUCUUCCGCAAUGGGCGAAAGCCUGACGGAGCAACGCCGCGUGAGUGAUGAAGGUCUUCGGAUCGUAAAACUCUGUUAUUAGGGAAGAACAAAUGUGUAAGUAACUAUGCACGUCUUGACGGUACCUAAUCAGAAAGCCACGGCUAACUACGUG
This 497-nucleotide ribosomal RNA is filed under the name uncultured bacterium. Its description in RNAcentral is "partial 16S ribosomal RNA". It matches the Rfam family "Bacterial small subunit ribosomal RNA", at positions 28 to 507 of the family's 1533-position model. The record is from RNAcentral.